RNAcentral lists this transfer RNA (88 nucleotides) under Spiribacter salinus M19-40. RNAcentral describes it as "tRNA-Ser (CGA) (tRNA-Ser-CGA-1-1)". It matches the Rfam family "tRNA". Rfam says of the family: Transfer RNA (tRNA) molecules are approximately 80 nucleotides in length. Their secondary structure includes four short double-helical elements and three loops (D, anti-codon, and T loops). The record is from RNAcentral. Lineage: Bacteria; Pseudomonadati; Pseudomonadota; Gammaproteobacteria; Chromatiales; Ectothiorhodospiraceae. RNAcentral also lists the same sequence under 2 other names.
GGAGAGGUGGCUGAGUGGUCGAAAGCGCCGCACUCGAAAUGCGGUGAACCGAAAGGUUCCGGGGGUUCGAAUCCCUCCCUCUCCGCCA